UGUAACAAAGUUGCCACAGCGAUUCUCCUUCUGAUAACGCACACGAAGACAGUGUAGAUCUUUUAACGUAUUGGAUACAGAGAAGAAACAGAGGGACAAAGAAGAAGACCAGAUUAAGAAAAUCUGGUGCGUCCGAGUGGACUCGAACCACCGACCCCCACCA
This 163-nucleotide antisense RNA is filed under the name Escherichia coli. RNAcentral describes it as "Bacterial antisense RNA HPnc0260". It matches the Rfam family "Bacterial antisense RNA HPnc0260". RNAcentral also lists the same sequence under 1 other name. The record is from RNAcentral. Lineage: Bacteria; Pseudomonadati; Pseudomonadota; Gammaproteobacteria; Enterobacterales; Enterobacteriaceae.